This 1351-nucleotide ribosomal RNA is filed under the name Burkholderia mallei FMH. RNAcentral's name for it is "16S ribosomal RNA". The record is from RNAcentral. Lineage: Bacteria; Pseudomonadati; Pseudomonadota; Betaproteobacteria; Burkholderiales; Burkholderiaceae. RNAcentral also lists the same sequence under 1 other name.
GCACAGAUGCUCGCGCACGCCGCGCAUCGCGGCCGCCUCGCCCGCCGCCCAUACGUAGCCUUCGCCCGCCGGCAGCGGCAGUUCGCGCAAUGCGUCGACCAGCCGGCUCGCGCCGCGCUCGCCGCUCGCCGCAUCGCCGCGAUGUCGCCAUACCACAUACAGGUUCGCAUCGGUUUCGAAUGCGAUCUGCGCCGACGGAUCGGCCACUUCGAGCACCGCCGCGACGCGCGUGCCGGCCGGCAAUUCCUCGAGCCGGCGCGCGACGGCGGGCAAUGCGGUGUCGUCGCCGAUCAGCAGAUGCCAGUCGAAAUCCUUCGGGAUCACGAACGAACCGCGCGGCCCGCCGAUGCCGAGCGUUUGCCCGACGCGCGCCUGAGCGGCCCACUGCGAAGCCGGCCCCGGAUGAUGCAGCACGAAAUCGAGAUCGAGCUCUCGCGCGGCGCGAUCAUAGCGGCGCGGCGUGAAAUCGCGUGCGACGGGGCGCGGCCUGUCCUGCGGAAACACGAUGCCGUUCGGGCCGAAUUCGGGGCGCGCGGGUGCGUCUUCGCCGGGCGGCGGGAAGAAGACUUUCACGUGAUCGUCGAACGACGCCGAUUCGAAAUCGUCGAGUUCGUCGCCUGCCAGCGUCACGCGCUUCAGAUGCGGCGUCACGUCGACGACGCGCUUGACCUGCAGCAGGCGGAAUUUCAGCGUAUGACGCACGCGUACGACCGCGCGCUCGGUAGUCGGUUGGGUCAUGUCGAUCGGUUCUCCUUGAUGAGCCGGAAACGGCGCGAUUCAGCCUUGCGCGCGGCCUUCGAUGUCGGCGACGGCGCGCCGCAAAAUGGCCGCGAUGCGGCGUUGCUCGUCGGCGUUUGCACCGCUUCUGCGAAAGAGCGCUUGCUUGAGCGCCAUCCGUGCUUCGACGAAUUCCGGCAGCCAGCCGCGCGUGUCGUCCUCGGGCGCGGCGGGCGCUUCGCCGGCGAACGCGCGACGCAUGAAUUCCAUCUUGCGGCCGAGAUGCGCGAGCUUCGCGAACAGCAUCUCGACGCGUUCACGCUGCGCGUCGAGAUGCGCGCGGCCCGCGUCGGCGAGCGCGUAACGCUUGCGGUUGCCUUCGGCCUGCACCGUCACGUAGCCGAGUUCUUCCAGAUACGUGAGCGCCGGAUACACCAUGCCGGGGCUCGGCGCGUAGAAGCCGCUCGAGCGCGUGUCGAGCGCCUUGAUCAGCUCAUAGCCGUGGCUCGGCUGCUCGGCGAGCAGCGCGAGCAGCAGCAACUGCAGAUCGUCGGCGCUGAAUUGACGGCCGCGCGGCAUCGCGUCGUCUCCGAAGCCGCCGAACCCACCGGGGCCGCCGCCGCCGAAGCCGCCG